CCUGUGCGCCCGCUCUUUAACCAAAGCUGUGUGUCACUGAGCCGUACCCGUCACAUGGUGUCACUGCUGGCGGCCGCGCCUUGCUGCCUGCCUCUCGCCGCUCACUGACGAUGCAGCGACCGCGGCUGGCGGAGACUGAGCAUCGGGGAAAGGCUUCACCCUGUACUCACCUGCGUUGCACUUGCGCUCCACCUGGGUUUCCCAGUAGGACAGCUGAAGAAGGGGCCACCACCAGCUGUGCGGUUACAGAGACUAUGUGCUUUCCUGCAUGGGUUUUCAAAGCUUUCCAAAUACAUCUGGCUUGAUACCAGCAGUAUUCUUGUACAAGAAUUUUUGGGUAAUAAGAUCAAAACUAUUUUCUGAAUAUAGUGUUUUUUAAAAAUCUGUAAAGGACUGUCAUUGGAAAAUCUGAUUUUUAACAAUGAUGAAAAAGUAGGAAAGUCAGCUGGUGAGGUUAUCUCAAAACAAGUGUCCUACAUAUCUCCUACUUGUAACAGAAACAGUACAGCCGUUUGGUGAACAAAUCCAGUCUCACUAGAAAAUAAAUUGUUUAUUCUGCAGUCUUUUA
Molecule: long non-coding RNA, 568 nt
Organism: Sapajus apella (tufted capuchin)
Lineage: Eukaryota; Metazoa; Chordata; Mammalia; Primates; Cebidae
Exons: 2
Source: RefSeq, a predicted model, not a curated record